CCUUCAAAUGCUUGCUUUAACUUCUUUAAACACGUGGUUUAUUUCACAUGUUUUGUUUACUUUUUCAUUUUAUUUAUUUCAAGCAAUUAUCAUUUUAUUUAAUUUAAACCUGGAUUUAUUAUUGAUAAAAUGGAAGAAUCAUUUAUUGAAAAACGUACCAAAAAAACUGGUAGUUUUCAGAGUUUUGCUCUGAGUCGACCCUUAUUAAGUGCGAUUGUACGAAAAGGUUAUAAAAAUCCGACACCUAUUCAACGUAAAACAAUCCCUCUUAUUCUGGAUGGAAAAGAUGUGAUUGGUAUGUCCAGAACUGGAAGUGGUAAAACUCUUGCCUUUUUAGCUCCUCUAAUUGAAAAGCUGUCUCGCGAUAGUGGUAGAAGUUGUAUUAAAGGUGUUAUUCUUUCUCCAACCAGAGAGCUUGCCAUGCAAACUUUCAAAGUGUUCAAAGAACUCAACCGAGGAACAAAGUUGAAAGCCGAAUGUAUUCUCGGAGGAGAUUCUCUAGAAAAACAUUUCACUGCCAUGCACACAAUUCCAGAUUUGUUGAUUGCCACCCCAGGUCGUCUUUUGCAUGUUUUAGUAGAGAUGGACAUGAAAUUACCUGAUGUGUCAAUGCUUGUUUUAGAUGAAUGUGAUAGACUUUUUGAGAUGGGUUUCAAUGAGCAAAUGACUGAAAUAAUUCGCCGACUUCCCGAGCAUCGACAAACCUUAUUAUUCUCUGCAACGCUUCCUCACUCUGUUGUAGACUUUGUUAAAGUUGGUUUACAUGAUCCAGUUCUCGUUAGAUUGGAUGUGGAAUCAAAAUUGUCUGAAAAUUUAACUUCUUGUUUCGUUUAUUGCCGUGACUCAGAGAAAAUUCCUUUACUCUUAUAUUUGUUGCGAUUUGUUGUGAAACCCGAUGCAAUGACCGUUGUAUUUACAUCAACCCGUCAUCAUGUGGAAUAUCUUGCCACUUUAUUAGAGAAAGCAUCAAUACAAUGUACUCAAGUCUAUAAUGCCAUGGACCAAGAAGCCCGAAAAGCCAACACUGAAUUAUUUCGCGGUGGAAAAAUUAAAAUUAUGGUCGUGACUGAUCUGGCAUCUCGUGGUAUCGAUAUUCCUUUUUUGGAUAAUGUUAUUAACUUUAAUUUUCCAGCUAAACCUAAACUUUACGUUCAUCGAGUGGGAAGAGUUGCUCGUGCUGGUAGAUCUGGUACAGCCUAUUCUCUGGUUUCAACUGAAGAACUUCCUUACCUUCAAGAAUUGUACUUUUUCUUAGGUCGUCCGAUCAAGAUAGCUACUGCACAAUCAGAAAUUGAAGAUUCCAUGAUAGGUAAAGCUCCCCAAAUUAUCAUCGAUGACGAAUGUGACACUGUCAAUAAGUGGCAUGAAUCAUAUACUGAUCUUCAAGGUAUGAGAAAGGUUUGUGAAAAUGCAACUCAACAAUACAUAAAGACAAGAGCCGUUCCCACUACUGAAGCAGUGAAGAAAGCCAAAGAAUUAUCUAAAAAACAGAUUUCAAUUCACCCCAUAUUUAAAGUUAACUCAACAACUCCGCAAGAAGAAGAAAAAAAGGCCGAUUUUCUUUCAUCAUUAAAAAGUUACAAACCUAAGGCAACUAUUUUUGAAAUUGGAACAAACAAAAAAGAUUAUGCUUAUAUAAUGAAAACAAAGCGUGACAAACAUGAUAAAAUUGUGGCCAAAGCUCAACGGAAUAAUGAAAUACAAGAAUCUGAAGAGAAAGACUUUCAUGAUGAAAGCUUUUACCUGCCUUAUCGAGCUAAUGACCAUUAUUCUGAAAAGGGACUUGGUAUUGAGAACAGUUUUACUAAGGACUUGAAUAAUGCUGUUUUUGAUAUUAGUGGUGAUGACCAAAAAUCCUUAAACAAAACUAAUGCAACACAAAAAUGGGACCGUAAGAAGAAAAAAUUUGUUGGAGUUAAUACAAACGAUCCUAAAAAGAAGAAGAUCAAAACUGAGAGUGGUGUUUGGAUAUCAGCUUCGUAUAAAUCUAAUCUUUACAAGAAAUGGCAAGAAAAGAGUAAAAAGAGCCAAGAUGAUGACGAUGAUUAUGAAGAAGAUGGAGAAAUGGAAGAUAAAUCAGUUCAAGAUGCUGUUCGUCAACGGGAUCAAGCAAUUAGCAAGCAAAUGAUGAAAAAUAAAAGGAAAGGGUCUGGCAGUAAAUCAGUUAAGAGUGAACUCAAAAGCAAAGCUGACCUUCUUAAAGAGAGAAUGGCCAAAGAGAAGAAGAAGAAAUUCAUGCAAUGGCGUAGGAAAGAGAAACUUAAAAAGAAAGGUCAAUCUAAAUAAAGAGGCUCCAAGGGUUUUAGAGGGUAAUUUUAUCAUCACCAUCACCAUCACCAUCAUCUUCAUCCUUACAUCAACUCCUGAACAUGAACAUCAUUAUUUUUUUGCCACUUUCCCUACGAGAAGAAACGAUUGAUGGGGUUGAUGGAGCAAGUAGAGAAAAGAAGGAGAAAAGAAUCAAGAAAAGGAGAUAACUUUAUGACUUGAAAAUAAGUACUAUUGAGCAUAUUGAAAUUACCAUGAUAAUGAUGGUGAUGAUGAUGAUCCGUAACAAGUCAACGGGAAUGAUGAAAAUGACGUAUCUUUCUAAAUAUUAACAAGAAUGCCCGGAUAACCCUGUUGAUUCAUGAAUGUUGCAAGAUCUAGUUUCCAGUUUCUAAAUGGACACUCACUUGAUGAUCCUUUUUUUUAGUUACCCGUUUUUCUGACCUUUAAAUAUCAAGGGAUUUGACAUGUAAAGAAUCUAUCCCUAUCAUGAUUAUGAUCAUGAUUCUCAUCUCCAUCAUUGAAAGUUGGAUCAAGUCUCAAGCACACUAAAAAUUGCACACUAAACAACAGCAGCCAAAUGAAUGCUCAUAAUCAUAAUCAUUGCAGCAAGUUCAAUGUGCCAUUUGAACUAACUGAUGAACCUCUAAUACCACUAAAAAGCAACGGAGAAAUAACACUGGAAAUAUUUAUAACGAUGUUGACGAUGGUGAUACCAAUAGUUCGUGGUUCCAAUCAUGUUUAGCGGUUUUCAAGGCAAAGAUUAAAGGAGUAUCACAAAGCUUACUAAUUGCGAAUACCAAAGUCAAAUUAUCCAGUCAAUUAACCUUUGCGUAAUGAUCGCCCUCACCAUUUGGUUAACAUUUUUUACUCUCAUUUCCCAUUGUUGUAUCACACCUAGCUUGUAUCAUCAGGUGAAGCUUAAUGUACCGAUGAGAGGAAAUGUUGAACUGGCAUUAUCGACUUUAGUCAUUGGCCGUGUUUGCCAUCAAGUACUUUUGUUACACACCAAUAAAUAUGGUGAAAGAGCCGUUACUGAUCUACAAAUAUUUA
Molecule: RNA transcript, 3321 nt
Organism: Tetranychus urticae (two-spotted spider mite)
Lineage: Eukaryota; Metazoa; Arthropoda; Arachnida; Trombidiformes; Tetranychidae
Gene name: ATP-dependent RNA helicase DDX54
Source: RefSeq, a predicted model, not a curated record